GACGAACGCUGGCGGCGUGCCUAAUACAUGCAAGUAGAACGCUGAAGGAGGAGCUUGCUUCUCUGGAUGAGUUGCGAACGGGUGAGUAACGCGUAGGUAACCUGCCUGGUAGCGGGGGAUAACUAUUGGAAACGAUAGCUAAUACCGCAUAAUAGUAGAUGUUGCAUGACAUUUGCUUAAAAGGUGCAAUUGCAUCACUACCAGAUGGACCUGCGUUGUAUUAGCUAGUUGGUGGGGUAACGGCUCACCAAGGCGCCGAUACAUAGCCGACCUGAGAGGGUGAUCGGCCACACUGGGACUGAGACACGGCCCAGACUCCUACGGGAGGCAGCAGUAGGGAAUCUUCGGCAAGGGACGGAAGUCUGACCGAGCAACGCCGCGUGAGUGAAGAAGGUUGUCGGAUCGUAAAGCUCUGUUGUAAGAGAAGAACGAGUGUGAGAGUGGAAAGUUCACACUGUGACGGUAUCUUACCAGAAAGGGACGGCUAACUACGUG
Molecule: ribosomal RNA, 495 nt
Filed under: uncultured bacterium
Lineage: Bacteria
Description: partial 16S ribosomal RNA
Rfam family: Bacterial small subunit ribosomal RNA
Source: RNAcentral